AGGCUUCGUGCAUUAAUGACAGAGGCAGAGCUACCUGCAUGCAUCACUGCUUGAGCAGACAGAGCACAAGGCACACAAAAUGUUUUUCAGCCGAUAUCCCCAGUUGCAACAAGACCUGCUUGCAGCUUAUGUUCAUUGGCAUCACAGGACAAACUUGUUCAUGGAUAUGAAGCAGUGCCUGCUGCCUCACCCUCAGCGUAACUCUAGAUAUGAAGAAAGCCUCCCUGCUGUUUUGGCUCGUGUAUUACACUAGGCAAGCAGAACACUUCAGACCUACCAGCAUACCCACAGCAGACUACGACAGUCUUUCAGAUGGCACGUGGCAGAAGCUAUGCACCAACAUCACACUUCAGACAAGGCAAAAUGAAAAAGAGAGGCAAGAAGCAGGGGGCAUCUACAGAGGCCUAAGCAGAUCAGGGCAGCAACACAAGCACAACUUCUCUUCCCAACAGAAAGAGUGAUGGGGACAGAGCACGGGCGGUGUAGGCCCCUAGAGGCAGAAAGGCCUCUUACGGCAUGAAGGAGGAUGACGUGUCGGUCUUGUGGACGCACUGGAAAGUUUGACACCUGCCCCUCUGUCCUGCCACACCAAUACUCUGCUCUGACCAAGUUUUGCCUGGAUCAGAAGAGCAGCCACAGCAACGGCCAACUGUGUUUUUGUUUCGCUUCUGUCUUCUCACCACCUGGGAAACGCAGCUAAGUAAGAACAGCUACACAGCCCUAUGCGAUGCUUUACCAAAGCAGCACAGUCAAGGCCAAAGGAUCUUAAAAUCCCAGGGACCAAAUGCUUCCUGUCAGCAGGCCUGGAGGCGACCGUCACUUUCGGCAGGGUCAUCAGAAAACAACUGCGUCCCAAGGUCUGAAGGAAGGAACAUGAGCCCGAGACGGAUAUUGAAGGGAAGCCGAAGAGGCAGCGAGAAAAGGAUGAGGGCUUAGAUUCGAGGAGAGCGCAUUUACUACUGGCCGAGCUUGUUACUGUUUUGGUGCAGUUAGCUCCUGUCUGUCACUCUCAAUAAAACUGUUAUUGAUUAGCAUGUGA
Long non-coding RNA from Gallus gallus (chicken), 1039 nucleotides. RefSeq lists it as uncharacterized. The record is from RefSeq and is a predicted model, not a curated record. Lineage: Eukaryota; Metazoa; Chordata; Aves; Galliformes; Phasianidae. The transcript has 2 exons.